RNAcentral lists this non-coding RNA (24 nucleotides) under Arabidopsis thaliana (thale cress). The record is from RNAcentral. Lineage: Eukaryota; Viridiplantae; Streptophyta; Magnoliopsida; Brassicales; Brassicaceae.
AUACAUCAACUUCGUAUGCGGCCG